CCUACGGGAGGCUGCAGUAGGGAAUUUUCGUCAAUGGGCGCAAGCCUGAACGAGCAAUGCCGCGUGAACGAGGAAGGUCUUCGGAUCGUAAAGUUCUGUUGAAGGGGAAAAAGAGCGGAGAGAGGAAAUGGUCUCCGAUUGAUAUUACCCUUCGAGGAAGUCACGGCUAACUACGUGCCAGCAGCCGCGGUAAUACGUCGGUGGCGAGCGUUAUCCGGAAUGAUUGGGCGUAAAGGUGGCGUAGGCGGCCUGCUAAGUCUGGAGUGAAAGGUACCGGCUCAACCGGUACAGGCUCUGGAAACUGGCGGGCUAGAGAGCAGGUGAGGGCGGGGGAACUCCAUGUGUAGCGGUAAAAUGCGUAGAUAUAUGGAAGAACACCAGUGGCGAAGGCGGCCGCCUGGCCUGUUACUGACGCUGAGGCACGAAAGCGUGGGGAGCAAAUAGGAUUAGAUACCCCAGUAGUC
RNAcentral lists this ribosomal RNA (464 nucleotides) under uncultured bacterium. RNAcentral describes it as "partial 16S ribosomal RNA". It matches the Rfam family "Bacterial small subunit ribosomal RNA", at positions 338 to 795 of the family's 1533-position model. The record is from RNAcentral.